GAGCUGUGGACUAACAGAGAGAUGUUGUGAAGACCUGGCCUCUGUUCUUCAGUCUCAACACUCCAGUCUAAGAGAGCUGGAUCUGAGUUACAAUAACCUGGGGGACUCAGGAGUGAAACUGCUGUCUGCAGCUCUGAGGGAUCCCAACUCUAAAUUAACAAAACUGAGAACCGAGGGAUGUGAGUAAAUCUAAACAUUGAAGAAGAUUCCUUAGUGGAGCAAGGUGGCAGAAUUCCUUAUCUUUAAAGAGACAGAACAAACUCCUCCAGAUGUUCAUCAAACAUCACAGUCUGCAGACCUGCUGAUCAAACCCCUCUGAGCAGACUGUGUUUCCAUUGUGCUCUAGUAUAUGUGGAAGGUCAAGAUAGGUCUCCCUCCUGCUCUGGGUCUGGACAGUGUGUAAUAGUGUGUAGUUUGUUUCUAAGUUCUAGAAUUAAAAAAAGAUCGUUUCUUAAACAUAUAAUUAGUUCUGUUGGUUUGCUAUGCACAUUUUGUCUUAAUAAAAAUUGGAUUUUGCAUACA
Molecule: non-coding RNA, 522 nt
Organism: Lepisosteus oculatus (spotted gar)
Lineage: Eukaryota; Metazoa; Chordata; Actinopteri; Semionotiformes; Lepisosteidae
Source: RefSeq, a predicted model, not a curated record